GGUUGCAUAGUGCAGUGGAACUGAAGCAUACCGGCAUUCUUUGGCCGGAGACCCGGGUUCGAUUCCCGGUGCAACCU
This 77-nucleotide transfer RNA is filed under the name Serendipita sp. 399. RNAcentral's name for it is "tRNA-Glu". It matches the Rfam family "tRNA". From Rfam's summary of the family: Transfer RNA (tRNA) molecules are approximately 80 nucleotides in length. The record is from RNAcentral. Lineage: Eukaryota; Fungi; Basidiomycota; Agaricomycetes; Sebacinales; Serendipitaceae.